AAAAUCUUAGGAAAGUAGCGAAGCACAUGAUGACGGCUUCCAGGAAAAGCUUCUGGCAAUGCAUAUGCGGCCCGUACCAAAACCGACACAGGUGGGCAGGGAGAGAAUCCCGAGGUGAGCGAGAGAACUGUUGCCAAGGAACUCGGCAAAAUGACUCCGUAAGUUAGCGAGAAGGAGUGCUUAAGCAAUUAAGCCGCAGUGAAGAGGCCCAAGCGACUGUUUAACUAAAACACAGCUCUCUGCGAAGUCGCAAGACGAAGUAUAGGGGGUGACACCUGCCCGGUGCUGGAAGGUUAAGAGGAUCUGUUAAGAGCGAUCUGAAGCAGUGAUCCGAAGCCCCAGUGAACGGCGGCCGUAACUAUAACGGUCCUAAGGUAGCGAAAUUCCUUGUCAGGUAAGUUCUGACCCGCACGAAAGGUGUAACGAUUUGGGCGCUGUCUCGGCAGCAGACUCGGUGAAAUCUUAGUACCUGUGAAAAUGCAGGUUACCCGCAACUAGACGGAAAGACCCCAUGGAGCUUUACUGCAGCCUGAUAUUGAAUUCUGGUCAUACAUGUACAGGAUAGGUGGGAGACAAAGAGACGUGCACGCCGGUGUACGAGGAGUCGACGUUGGGAUACCACUCUUGUGUGACUGGGGUUCUAACCUGGUAUCGAGAACAGGUACGGGGAGAGUGUCAGGUGGGCAGUUUGACUGGGGCGGUCGCCUCCCAAAGAGUAACGGAGGCGCCCAAAGGUACGCUCAGAUUGGAUGGAAAUCAAUCGUCGAGUGCAAUUGCAGAAGCGUGCUUGACUGUGAGACAGACAAGUCGAACAGGGACGAAAGUCGGGAAUAGUGAUCCGGCGGUGCCGAAUGGAAGGGCCGUCGCUCAACGGAUAAAAGCUACCCUGGGGAUAACAGGCUGAUCUCGCCCAAGAGUUCACAUCGACGGCGAGGUUUGGCACCUCGAUGUCGGCUCAUCGCAUCCUGGAGCUGGAUUCGGUUCCAAGGGUUGGGCUGUCCGCCUAUUAAAGCGGUACGCGAGCUGGGUUCAGAACGUCGUGAGACAGUUCGGUCCCUAUCUGUUGUGGGCGAAGGAGAUCUGCGGAGAGCUGUCCUCAGUACGAGAGGACCGGGAUGGACCUACCGCUGGUGCACCGGUUGUUCCGCCAGGGGCAUAGCCGGGUAGCUAAGUAGGGAAAGGAUAAGCGCUGAAAGCAUCUAAGCACGAAGCCUACUCCAAGAUGAGAUCUCCCAUUCGCAAGAAGUAAGACCCCUUAAAGACGAUAAGGUAGAUAGGCCAGGGAUGGAAGUGCAGUGAUGUACGGAGUUGACUGGUACUAAUCGGUCGAGGACCUAA
Molecule: ribosomal RNA, 1338 nt
Filed under: metagenome
Description: bacterial LSU rRNA
Rfam family: Bacterial large subunit ribosomal RNA
Source: RNAcentral